CCGAGAGUCCCCAUUUUAGGUUCAGGACGAACGCUGGCGGCGUGCUUAACACAUCAAGUCGAGCGGGGUCCAACCGGUGGCAACACCGGGGAAGACCUAGCGGCGAACGGGUGAGUAACACGGGAGGAACCUGCCCCGAAGACCGGGAUAACCCUCCGAAAGGAGAGCUAAUACCGGAUGCCCUCUACUGAUCGCAUGUUCGGUAGAGGAAAUGGAUUCCGCUUUGGGAGGGCCUCGCGGCCCUAUCAGCUUGUUGGUGAGGUAACGGCUCACCAAGGCAUCGACGGGUAGCUGGUCUGAGAGGACGAUCAGCCACACUGGGACUGAGACACGGCCCAGACUCCUACGGGAGGCAGCAGUGGGGAAUCUUGCGCAACGGGCGAAAGCCUGACGCAGCAACGCCGCGUGGGGGAUGAAGGCUUUCGGGUUGUAAACCCCUUUCAGCAGGGACGAUUAUGACGGUACCUGCAGAAGAAGGACCGGCCAACUACGUGCCAGCAGCCGCGGUAAUACGUAGGGUCCAAGCGUUGUCCGGAUUUAUUGGGCGUAAAGAGCUCGUAGGCGGCUCAGUAAGUCGGAUGUGAAAACUCGGGGCUCAACCCCGAGACGCCAUCCGAUACUGCUGUGGCUUGAGUCUGGUAGGGGAACACGGAAUUUCCUGGUGUAGCGGUGAAAUGCGCAGAUAUCAGGAGGAACACCGAUUGGCGAAGGCAGUGUUCUGGGCCAGUACUGACGCUGAGGAGCGAAAGCGUGGGUAGCAAACAGGAUUAGAUACCCUGGUAGUCCACGCCGUAAACGUUGGGCACUAGGCGUGGGACUAUCGACGGUUUCCGUGCCGCAGCUAACGCAUUACUGCCCGGUGGGGAGUACGGCCGCAAGGCUAAAACUC
This 889-nucleotide ribosomal RNA is filed under the name uncultured bacterium. RNAcentral describes it as "bacterial SSU rRNA". It matches the Rfam family "Bacterial small subunit ribosomal RNA", at positions 1 to 902 of the family's 1533-position model. The record is from RNAcentral.